GCAUUGGUGAUUGAGUGGUAGAAAUUUUUGCCUUCCAUGUGGGAGACCCGGGUUUGAUUCCUGGCCAAUGCA
Molecule: transfer RNA, 72 nt
Filed under: Loxodonta africana (African savanna elephant)
Lineage: Eukaryota; Metazoa; Chordata; Mammalia; Proboscidea; Elephantidae
Rfam family: tRNA
About the family: Transfer RNA (tRNA) molecules are approximately 80 nucleotides in length. Their secondary structure includes four short double-helical elements and three loops (D, anti-codon, and T loops).
Source: Rfam by way of RNAcentral